Molecule: ribosomal RNA, 261 nt
Filed under: uncultured prokaryote
Description: partial 16S ribosomal RNA
Rfam family: Bacterial small subunit ribosomal RNA
Source: RNAcentral
UGCGUAGGGUGCGAGCGUUGUCCGGAAUUAUUGGGCGUAAAGAGCUCGUAGGCGGUUUGUCGCGUCUGCUGUGAAAAUCCGGGGCUCAACCCCGGACUUGCAGUGGGUACGGGCAGACUAGAGUGUGGUAGGGGAGACUGGAAUUCCUGGUGUAGCGGUGAAAUGCGCAGAUAUCAGGAGGAACACCGAUGGCGAAGGCAGGUCUCUGGGCCACUACUGACGCUGAGAAGCGAAAGCAUGGGGAGCGAACAGGAUUAGAUA